RNAcentral lists this ribosomal RNA (430 nucleotides) under Fusobacteriota bacterium. Its description in RNAcentral is "Fusobacteria bacterium partial 16S ribosomal RNA". It matches the Rfam family "Bacterial small subunit ribosomal RNA", at positions 355 to 776 of the family's 1533-position model. The record is from RNAcentral. Lineage: Bacteria; Fusobacteriati; Fusobacteriota.
UAGGGAAUCUUCGGCAAUGGACGCAAGUCUGACCGAGCAACGCCGCGUGAGUGAAGAAGGUUUUCGGAUCGUAAAACUCUGUUGUUAGAGAAGAACAAGGAUGAGAGUAAAAUGUUCAUCCCUUGACGGUAUCUAACCAGAAAGCCACGGCUAACUACGUGCCAGCAGCCGCGGUAAUACGUAGGUGGCAAGCGUUGUCCGGAUUUAUUGGGCGUAAAGCGAGCGCAGGCGGUUUCUUAAGUCUGAUGUGAAAGCCCCCGGCUCAACCGGGGAGGGUCAUUGGAAACUGGGGAACUUGAGUGCAGAAGAGGAGAGUGGAAUUCCAUGUGUAGCGGUGAAAUGCGUAGAUAUAUGGAGGAAAACCAGUGGCGAAGGCGGCUCUCUGGUCUGUAACUGACGCUGAGGCUCGAAAGCGUGGGGAGCAAACAGG